Molecule: ribosomal RNA, 157 nt
Filed under: Phellinus sp. Km-2
Lineage: Eukaryota; Fungi; Basidiomycota; Agaricomycetes; Hymenochaetales; Hymenochaetaceae
Description: 5.8S ribosomal RNA
Rfam family: 5.8S ribosomal RNA
About the family: 5.8S ribosomal RNA (5.8S rRNA) is a component of the large subunit of the eukaryotic ribosome. It is transcribed by RNA polymerase I as part of the 45S precursor that also contains 18S and 28S rRNA. Functionally, it is thought that 5.8S rRNA may be involved in ribosome translocation.
Source: RNAcentral
AACUUUUAACAACGGAUUUCUUGGCUCUCGCAUCGAUGAAGAACGCAGCGAAAAGCGAUAAGUAAUGUGAAUUGCACAAAUUAGUGGAUCAUUCAAUUUUUGAACGCACCUUGCGCCCCUUGGGAUUUCCAGGGGCAUGCCCGGUUGAGUGUCAUGG